RNAcentral lists this ribosomal RNA (524 nucleotides) under uncultured bacterium. RNAcentral's name for it is "partial 16S ribosomal RNA". It matches the Rfam family "Bacterial small subunit ribosomal RNA", at positions 28 to 523 of the family's 1533-position model. The record is from RNAcentral.
GACGAACGCUGGCGGCGUGCUUAACACAUGCAAGUCGAACGAGACGAUUGAAAGCUUGCUUUCGAAAGUCGAGUGGCAAACGGGUGAGUAACGCGUAGACAACCUGCCUUUGAGAUGGGGACAACAGUUCGAAAGGACUGCUAAUACCGAAUGUUGUAUAUUUUCCACAUGGAAGAUAUAUUAAAGAUGGCCUCUAUUUAUAAGCUAUCGCUCAAAGAUGGGUCUGCGUCUGAUUAGCUAGUUGGUGGGGUAACGGCCUACCAAGGCGACGAUCAGUAGCCGGUCUGAGAGGAUGAACGGCCACAUUGGGACUGAGACACGGCCCAGACUCCUACGGGAGGCAGCAGUGGGGAAUCUUCCACAAUGGACGAAAGUCUGAUGGAGCAACGCCGCGUGAGUGAAGAAGGGUUUCGGCUCGUAAAGCUCUGUUGUCGGGGACGAAUGUGCAGUAUUUGAAUAAAGUACUGCAAUGACGGUACCUGACGAGGAAGCCACGGCUAACUACGUGCCAGCCGCCGCUGUAA